CGCAUCUGUGCAUGCAGCAUAUCAAUAAGCGGAGGAAAAGAAACUAACAAGGAUUCCCCUAGUAACGGCGAGUGAAGGCGGGAAGAGCUCAAAUUUGAAAUCUUAAAGGGUUUCCCUUUACGAAUUGUAGUUUAAAGAAGUGUUUUCUGUUGAGGUUUUGGUAAAAGUUCUUUGGAAUAGGACAUCAUAGAGGGUGAGAAUCCCGUAUUUGACCUUUACUUUCAACUUUGUGAUACACUUUCAAAGAGUCGGAUUGUUUGGGAAUGCAGUCCAAAAUGGGUGGUAAAUUUCAUCUAAAGCUAAAUAUUGGCGAGAGACCGAUAGCGAACAAGUACCGUGAGGGAAAGAUGAAAAGAACUUUGAAAAGAGAGUUAAACAGUACGUGAAAUUGUCAAAAGGGAAGCGUUUGACACCAGUGUUGUUUUUCUGAAAAUCAAUUAAAGAACUGUUUAUGCUAAGUUGUUUAGACUUUAUCAGCUAACUGUUUAGUUUUGAGCUUUUCUUUAAUGCACUUUUCAGUUAACAAGUCAACAUCAAUUUCUUUUGCUGUAAAAAAGCUUGAGGAAGGUGGCUUGAGAUUCGUCUUAAGUGUUUAUAGCCUCUUGCCUAUGCAGUCGGAGAGAUUGAGGUCUGCAGCGUAGAUCCUUCGGGGCUAAAUGCAUUUGUGCUAAGUUAUAGCAUUUCAUAGACAACUUGUUGACUAUGAUUUGUCUUGUAGCUUACUCGCUUAUGUUAUUUUACCUACGCUUAGGAUGUUGACAGCAGUAUAGACUGU
Molecule: ribosomal RNA, 775 nt
Filed under: uncultured Neocallimastigales
Lineage: Eukaryota; Fungi; Neocallimastigomycota; Neocallimastigomycetes; Neocallimastigales
Description: partial large subunit ribosomal RNA
Rfam family: Eukaryotic large subunit ribosomal RNA
Source: RNAcentral